Halichondria panicea is the source of this 2063-nucleotide long non-coding RNA. RefSeq lists it as uncharacterized. The record is from RefSeq and is a predicted model, not a curated record. NCBI's taxonomy places the organism in Eukaryota, Metazoa, Porifera, Demospongiae, Suberitida, Halichondriidae. The transcript is spliced from 3 exons.
CAAAAUUAACACAAAAAUCAGUCUGCUAAAAGCUAGCACAAGAGCAGACCAUAGCAGACACUCUGCAGAGCUAGAGAUGGCUGAGGCAAAUCUUGGAAGCAAACGUACUGUGCCUGCGACAGCCACAAGAGAAAGCAUGGAAACAAAAAAGAGGAAGAGCUUAGUAGCAUCACUUCCAAAAAAAAUGGCUGAGCAGAUGUCUCAUUUCAGGUUUUCUGGAAGCCCAAAGCGUAAAUUUAGGUUGCCUAAGAGAGGAGAACCUGCUGAAGCUGGCCCUCGUGCACGUACACCGGUACCGCUUGGUCCAAGACCCACAGAACCACACAGCCCAAAUGACACACCUCUCCCAACGUCUACACCGCUUGGUCCAAGACCAACAGAACCACAAAGCCCAGAAAACAUAGUGAAGAAGUUGCAGGCUCAAUUUCCCAGUAUUCUAAGCGCAGUUCAUAAAAGUAACUCUACCAUGUGGAUAACUUUCUUUGGUAAUAUCACCACUGUGACUCCAAACGGUCUUCCUUCGUGUAAUCCAAAAGUUCACAUUGAGAUCAGUGACGAUUCAGUCUGCCGACUCGAGGUACACUGUUUAGUUAAAGAUUCAUUCCCUCUUCUUGGCAACGAAAGUCGAGUAGCUUCUCUGAUUGCUACAUUGUUACCUACCAGCGAAUACGUUCUGUGUCCUGGUCUUCCAUCAACACUAACAAAUGAGGUUAAUUUUGAGAGUAAGAGUUUGAGAAAGUGGGUGCCUCUAUUCUCCCGUGCUGAUAACAAGGACUGUGCGCUAUGGUAUGCUAGAGGUAAACCAGGUGCAUCCUCAGAGUCGCGUAUGUGUUACAAAUGUGAUCGACUAUCGACACAUCUUCGGGAUAUGUUGAAAAAGAAGAAAUCCGUCUCACCUGCAACGAAGCUGAAGCGACAAUCUGCUGGCAGCAAUUAUUCCAAGAAAUAUUUGACACCAGAAGAGAGAGUUCUGCGGGCAAGGAAUGAAUAUCUGCAGAAAAAAGUCGAUAAGCGUGUCCUUAAAAAAUGUAAUCCAAGAAGCUGACGAUGCACAUACAUGUAUGAGAACUUAGUUGAACAACAUUCUAAGAGAGAGCUAGUACAUGUACAUCAAUAUUCAGCAAUUGUAAGAGUUAGUGAGGUGUUACGUACACAGCCAGGGUUAAUUUCAGUGUGGUUGAUGUCAGGAGCCCAUAAAUAAGAGAAGGAGCGACUGACUAUGGGGAUCACGUUUCGUAAGUGGUUAUGACCGCAUUUCCAUAUAAUUAUGCAGAGUCACUUAAGUGGUUGAAUCCCUACACGUGUUAUACACAAUACAGGGCUGUGGUUUGCAAGCACUUAGUCGCUUCCAAACAAGGAAGUGCAGUUUCACCGGCAAUUACGAGACGUGAUCCCCGAGUAUACGUUGAAGUUAGCCGCUCCUUCUCUUAUUUAUGGGCUCCUGUUGAUGUUCACCCGCUUAGAACAAGUAAAUUUCCUACUUGCACCUUGUCGACCACCCGCUUGAUAUUUGCAACCCACAUUUCCACCUACUUCUGCAAAAUCCUGAAGUAAACCCUGACAGCCUUGAGAAGAAGUUUAUGGCUAGAGAUAUUGAUUCUACCAGGAGUAGAUGGAGCGUCGAAAUGAGAAAUGAUAUCAUCCUGCUUUGUACAAACAUUGUGCCAUAUACGUCAAGCCGCUGACAUUAUUCACUGUACUUAACGAUGUUUACUAUUAUUAGAUCAAAGACCUUUUAUCAAUCGCACAUUACAAAACAAGGAAAUCAAAGUUACUAGUAAGACAUGUGCUCCAUAUGCCUAGUAAUAUGCCGCAUCUUCUCAUACUGCAUACGUACAUGUAUAUACAUGUAGCUCAAUAGAAGGGCGGAUGAUACAAGGUCAGAGUUCAAUAUUGCUGUGAGAAAACUCGCCAGGGAUUGCCAAACUAUGUCCACCUACAGAUCAGUGUACAAUUAUACAUACGUAGAUAUGUGUCAUCAACUCAUGUAUUUUAGCAAAUUAAUACCAGCACCCAUUAUAACACAUUUUAGGCUACAGGAUCUGAGAUCCUUACAAUGAAUC